Marmota monax (woodchuck) is the source of this 1705-nucleotide long non-coding RNA. RefSeq lists it as uncharacterized. Lineage: Eukaryota; Metazoa; Chordata; Mammalia; Rodentia; Sciuridae. The transcript has 3 exons. The record is from RefSeq and is a predicted model, not a curated record.
UCACAGAGGAGGGACCAAGGGCCAGGGGGACAGGGUGCACUCACCACGGUGUCCCCCCUCUUGCACUCCAGGUGUGCUUCUAGCAUCGUAUUCUCCUGUGGAGGCAAGUCGGUCUUGCAAAUCACCUGCAUGGUGGUGGCACACAUCCCCACUCCACAGGCUGGGAGCCCGAGGCUGAGGGCAGACACUGGCCCAGGUCGUCAUUGGUGGAUCCGAAAUGCGGACGGGGUGGACGAGGAUCCGAGGGUCACCUGCUGGCCUUCUGGGACGGAGAUGUUCACCAGGGCUUCCGUGAUAUUUGCGUUCUCCUGCACUUGGAGGAAGGUCUUGUCCACAGAGCAGACUGGGAAGUUGGAGAGGACAGGAAGGAAAGAGCAACUUCCCCCUCCACGCUGGCGGCAGGAAGCAGAGACCAGCGGCCGGAGGAGAAGGUGCUCCCAUGGAUGCCUUCCAAACCUGCUCUUGGCCCGGCAGGGUCACCACAGUUGUCAUCCCAGCCACUCGGGAGCCCAGGCUGGAGGAUCACCAGCUUAAAGCCAGUCUUGGCCCCUUAGUGAGACCCCAUCCCAAAAUGAUACUGUUUGUAAGGGGCUGGGGUGUGGCUCAGUGGUAGAGUGCCUGCCUCCCACGUGAGGCAAUGGGUUCGAUCCUCAGCACCACAAAAAAAUAAAUAAAGAUAUGGUGUCCAUCUACAACUAAAAAAAAAAAAAUAAAAAUAAAGUACAUUCAUGAGAACAUUGCAAAUCCCAAAUAUCAACUUGAUCUGUGAGAUUUCUCAGCAUCUGCAAUCACUUAAGUAAUCAGGCAGAUCUUCACUAGGAAAAUCUAUUUUUAAAAAAUUAACAUAAAGUGGGGCUGGGUUGUAGCUCAGUGGUAGAGUGCUUGCCUCGCAGCCCCCCAGCCCCUGGUUAUCACCUCUGCCUCUGUCUCUGUGAAUGGUGACUGUAGAGACCCACGGGAGUGGGAUCACUCAAAUCUGCAUAACAUUCCAUUGCAUGGGUAUUGGUGUUUGUCCAUCCCCCAUCUGUUGAUGGACAUCAGGCUGCUUCCACCUUUGACAUUGUGAAUGUGGGGGUGCAGACAGCUCUUUAAAGCUUGGGUUUUUUUUGGGGGAAGGGUGCUGGGGAUUGAACCAGGGCCUUGUACAUACUAGGCAAGUACUCUACUGACUGAGCUAUAUCCCCAGCCCUAGAGCCUGUUUUUAAUUCUUUGGGGAAUAUGGUUAGGAGUGGGUUGCUGGGUCAUAUUUGAUUUUUCUUUCCUUCCUUCCUUCCUUCCUUCCUUCCUUCCUUCCUUCCUUUCUUUACCAGGGAUUGAACCCAGGGACACUUAACCACUGAGCCUCAACCCUAGUUCUACUUUUUAUUUUGAAACGGGUUCUCAUUAAGUUGUUUAGUGCCUUGCUAAAUUGCGGAGACUGGCUUUUUUUUCUUCUUCUUUUUGUUUUUAGUUGUAGAUGGACAGCAUGCCUUCAUUUUAUUUGUUUGUUUGUUUAUUUAUUUUUUAGUUUUAGGUGGACACACUAUCUUUAUUUUAUUUUUAUUUUUAAGUGGUUAUUGAGGAUCGAACCCAGCGCCCCGCGCAUGCCAGGUGAGCGCGCUGAGGCACAUCCCCAGCCCUGUUUAUUUCUAUGUGGUGCUGAGGAUGGAACCCAGUGCCUCACACGUGCGAGGCGAGCGCUCUGCCACUCAGCCCCAGCCCCAGA